GACGAACGCUGGCGGCGUGCUUAACACAUGCAAGUCGAACGGAAAGGCCCUGCUUUUGUGGGUUGCUCGAGUGGCGACCGGGUGAGUAACACGUGAGUAACCUGCCCUUGACUUUGUGAUAACUUCAGGAAACUCGGGCGAAUACCGGAUAUGAGCUCUUGCUGCACGGGGGUGGUUGGAAAAUUUCGGCGGUUGGGGCUGGUCCCGCGGCUUAUCAGCUGGUUUGUGUGGUAGUGGCUUUCCAGGGAUUCGACGGGAAGCCCGCCUGAGAGGGUGACCGGCCACCGUGGGACUGCGAGACGGAACAGACUCGUACGGGAGGCAGCAGUGGGGAAUAUUGCACAAUGGGCGGAAGCCUGAUGCAGAGACGCCGCGUGCGGGAUGACGGCCUUCGGGUUGUAAACCGAUUUCGCCUGUGAUGAAGCGUGAGUGACGGUACUGGGUCAAGAAGCACCGGCUAACUACGUG
Molecule: ribosomal RNA, 468 nt
Filed under: uncultured bacterium
Lineage: Bacteria
Description: partial 16S ribosomal RNA
Rfam family: Bacterial small subunit ribosomal RNA
Source: RNAcentral